RNAcentral lists this ribosomal RNA (407 nucleotides) under uncultured bacterium. Its description in RNAcentral is "partial 16S ribosomal RNA". It matches the Rfam family "Bacterial small subunit ribosomal RNA", at positions 28 to 526 of the family's 1533-position model. The record is from RNAcentral.
GACGAACGCUGGCGGCGUGCCUAAUACAUGCAAGUCGAACGCAGUUGCGAACGGGUGAGUAACGCGUAGGUAACUGCCUCAUAGCGGGGGAUAACUAUUGGAAACGAUAGCUAAUACCGCAUACUGUGAGAUGGACCUGCGUUGUAUUAGCUAGUUGGGGAGGUAAAGGCUCACCAAGGCGACGGUACAUAGCCGGACUGGGAGGGUGAUCGGCCACACUGGGACCGGGGACCGGGCCAGGCUCCUCAGGGGGGGAGCAGUAGGGGAAUUUCGGCAAUGGGCGGAAGGCUGACCGAGCAACGCCGCGUGGGUGAAGAAGGGUUUCGGGUCGGAAAGCUCUUUUGGUAGGGAAGCGGUACCUAACCAGAAAGGGACGGCUAACUACGUGCCAGCAGCCGCGGUAAUAC